UACGGAGGGGGUAAGCGUUGUUCGGAAUUACUGGGCGUAAAGGGCUCGUAGGCGGCCAACUAAGUCAGACGUGAAAUCCCUCAGCUUAACUGGGGAACUGCGUCUGAUACUGGAUGGCUUGGAUUUGGGAGAGGGAUGCGGAAUUCCAGGUGUAGCGGUGAAAUGCGUAGAUAUCUGGAGGAACACCGGUGGCGAAGGCGGCAUCCUGGACCAACAUUGACGCUGAGGAGCGAAAGCCAGGGGAGCAAACGGG
Molecule: ribosomal RNA, 253 nt
Filed under: uncultured bacterium
Lineage: Bacteria
Description: partial 16S ribosomal RNA
Rfam family: Bacterial small subunit ribosomal RNA
Source: RNAcentral